AACGAACGCUGGCGGCAUGCCUAACACAUGCAAGUCGAACGAGACCUUCGGGUCUAGUGGCGCACGGGUGCGUAACGCGUGGGAACCUGCCCUUAGGUUCGGAAUAACUCUCCGAAAGGGGUGCUAAUACCGGAUAAUGUCUUCUGACCAAAGAUUUAUCGCCUUUGGAUGUGCCCGCGUUGGAUUAGCUAGUUGUUAGGGUAAAAGCAUACCAAGGCGACGAUCCAUAGCUGGUCUGAGAGGAUGAUCAGCCACACUGGGACUGAGACACGGCCCAGACUCCUACGGGAGGCAGCAGUGGGGAAUAGUGGAAAAUGGGCGAAAGCAUGAUCCAGCAAUGACGCGUGAGUGAUGAAGGCAGUAGGGUUGUAAAGCUUUUUUAACCGGGAUGAUAAUGACAGUACCGGGAGAAUAAGCUCCGGCUAACUACGUG
Molecule: ribosomal RNA, 433 nt
Filed under: uncultured bacterium
Lineage: Bacteria
Description: partial 16S ribosomal RNA
Rfam family: Bacterial small subunit ribosomal RNA
Source: RNAcentral